AGUGUACCCGCGGCAAGACGGAAAGACCCCGUGAACCUUUACUAUAGCUUGACACUGAACAUUGAGCCUUGAUGUGUAGGAUAGGUGGGAGGCUUUGAAGUGUGGACGCCAGUCUGCAUGGAGCCGACCUUGAAAUACCACCCUUUAAUGUUUGAUGUUCUAACGUGGACCCGUAAUCCGGGUUGCGGACAGUGUCUGGUGGGUAGUUUGACUGGGGCGGUCUCCUCCUAAAGAGUAACGGAGGAGCACGAAGGUUGGCUAAUCCUGGUCGGACAUCAGGAGGUUAGUGCAAUGGCAUAAGCCAGCUUGACUGCGAGCGUGACGGCGCGAGCAGGUGCGAAAGCAGGUCAUAGUGAUCCGGUGGUUCUGAAUGGAAGGGCCAUCGCUCAACGGAUAAAAGGUACUCCGGGGAUAACAGGCUGAUACCGCCCAAGAGUUCAUAUCGACGGCGGUGUUUGGCACCUCGAUGUCGGCUCAUCACAUCCUGGGGCUGAAGUAGGUCCCAAGGGUAUGGCUGUUCGCCAUUUAAAGUGGUACGCGAGCUGGGUUUAGAACGUCGUGAGACAGUUCGGUCCCUAUCUGCCGUGGGCGCUGGAGAACUGAGGGGGGCUGCUCCUAGUACGAGAGGACCGGAGUGGACGCAUCACUGGUGUUCGGGUUGUCAUGCCAAUGGCACUGCCCGGUAGCUAAAUGCGGAAGAGAUAAGUGCUGAAAGCAUCUAAGCACGAAACUUGCCCCGAGAUGAGUUCUCCCUGAGACUUAGAGUCUCCUGAAGGAACGUUGAAGACGACGACGUUGAUAGGCCGGGUGUGUAAGCGCAGCGAUGCGUUGAGCUAACCGGUACUAAUGAACCGUGAGGCUUAACCUUACAACGCCGAAG
RNAcentral lists this ribosomal RNA (880 nucleotides) under Salmonella enterica subsp. enterica serovar Kentucky. Its description in RNAcentral is "partial 23S ribosomal RNA". It matches the Rfam family "Bacterial large subunit ribosomal RNA", at positions 2063 to 2925 of the family's 2925-position model. Lineage: Bacteria; Pseudomonadati; Pseudomonadota; Gammaproteobacteria; Enterobacterales; Enterobacteriaceae. The record is from RNAcentral.